This 296-nucleotide long non-coding RNA is filed under the name Coccomyxa subellipsoidea. RNAcentral describes it as "long non-coding RNA (CSUB_LNC000119)". Lineage: Eukaryota; Viridiplantae; Chlorophyta; Trebouxiophyceae; Coccomyxaceae. The record is from RNAcentral.
AAACAUCUGCUGUAUAAUUUAAUCAAAUAUCAACGCAUCAGCCAUUGGCUCUGCUUCAGAUGGUUGAGCGUUCCCCAGAGCAAGUAGUCCAAGCACAACCGUCCACGAGCUCUGCUGCCGAUGGCGUGCUGCCUCGGCGAUUUGUGGGAAGGAAGGGGGCCGUGUCACGCGCGAGUGACGGAGCCAUUGUUCCAAGCUCUAACAGUGCAGUUCCUAGAUUUGUGAGGCAGCAGGUAUUGGCUGCCACCAAUCUUACUAGGCUUCAUACACCGUGUUGACCUUUAAUGAGGAUGGUA